RNAcentral lists this ribosomal RNA (400 nucleotides) under phytoplankton environmental sample. Its description in RNAcentral is "partial small subunit ribosomal RNA". It matches the Rfam family "Eukaryotic small subunit ribosomal RNA", at positions 587 to 991 of the family's 1831-position model. The record is from RNAcentral.
AGCUCCAAUAGCGUAUAUUAAAGUUGUUGCAGUUAAAAAGCUCGUAGUUGGAUUUGUGGUGUAUGCAGGCGGCCCGUCACAUUGUGUCGGAGCUUGCUUGCGUCGCCAUCCUUGGGUGGAUCCUGUGUGGCAUUAAGUUGUCGUGCAGGGGAUGCCCAUCGUUUACUGUGAAAAAAUUAGAGUGUUCAAAGCAGGCUUACGCCGUUGAAUAUGUUAGCAUGGAAUAAUAAGAUAGGACCUUGGUACUAUUUUGUUGGUUUGCGCACCAAGGUAAUGAUUAAUAGGGACAGUUGGGGGUAUUCGUAUUUCGUUGUCAGAGGUGAAAUUCUUGGAUUCCCGAAAGACGAACUACUGCGAAAGCAUUUACCAAGGAUGUUUUCAUUAAUCAAGAACGAAAGUA